RNAcentral lists this ribosomal RNA (381 nucleotides) under Methanobacteriota archaeon. Its description in RNAcentral is "bacterial SSU rRNA". It matches the Rfam family "Archaeal small subunit ribosomal RNA", at positions 1 to 386 of the family's 1478-position model. Lineage: Archaea; Methanobacteriati; Methanobacteriota. The record is from RNAcentral.
AAAUCUGGUUGAUCCUGCCAGAGGCGACCGCUAUUGGAGUUCGAUUAAGCCAUGCGAGUCGAGAGCUUUAGGAGCUCGGCAUACUGCUCAGUAACACGUGGAUAACCUGCCCUGUGCUCCGGGAUAACCUCGGGAAACUGAGAAUAAUACCGGAUAGUCCACCACGCCUGGAACGGUGGGUGGAUCAAAGGUCACGGCACAGGAUGGGUCUGCGGCGUAUCAGGUUGUAGGGGGUGUAAAGGACCCCCUAGCCAUUGACGCGUACGGGUUGUGGGAGCAAUCGCCCGGAGAUGGAUUCUGAGACACGAAUCCAGACCCUACGGGGUGCAGCAGGCGCGAAAACUUCACACUGCAGGAAACUGUGAUGAGGGAACUCCAAGU